AGUGAACGCUGGCGGUGUGCCUAAUACAUGCAAGUCGAGCGACCAGACGAUAAGCUUGCGCCCCUGACGUUAGCGACUGACGGGUGAGUAACACGUAGAUCACCUACCUCUAUUUCUGGGGUAAUUUCGUGAAACAGGUGCUACUACUGCCUAACAUGUCGUACGGCUUGAUUCAGCAGUGAAUGACGCUCUUGCUGACACUUAUAGAUGGUUCCGCGCCGCAUUAGCUAGUUGGUAAGGUAACGGCUUACCAAGGCAACGAUGCGUAGCCGACCUGAGAGGGUGAUCAGCCACACUGGAACUGAGACACGGUCCAGACUCCUACGGGAGGCAGCAGUAGGGAAUAUUGCGCAAUGGGCGAAAGCCUGAUGGAGCAAUGCCGCGUGAGUGAAGAAGGUCUUCGGGUCGUAAAGCCCUGUUGUUGGGGAAGAAAAAAAGUGUGAUAAACCACGGACGUUUUGACGGUACCUAAAGAAAAAGCCACGGCUAACUUCGUG
Molecule: ribosomal RNA, 497 nt
Filed under: uncultured bacterium
Lineage: Bacteria
Description: partial 16S ribosomal RNA
Rfam family: Bacterial small subunit ribosomal RNA
Source: RNAcentral